UACCCUUGACAUGUCCUGGAGCCCGGCUUUCACCGGGCUCCAGGACAUGUCAAGGGUAGGUAAGGUUUUUCGCGUUGCAUCGAAUUAAUCCACAUAAUCCACCGCUUGUGCGGGUCCCCGUCAAUUCCUUUGAGUUUUAACCUUGCGGCCGUACUCCCCAGGCGGUCGACUUCACGCGUUAGCUUCGUUACUGAGAGUGUCAAACCCCCAACAACCAGUCGACAUCGUUUAGGGCGUGGACUAC
Molecule: unclassified non-coding RNA, 244 nt
Filed under: uncultured Gammaproteobacteria bacterium
Lineage: Bacteria; Pseudomonadati; Pseudomonadota; Gammaproteobacteria
Description: contains 16S-23S intergenic spacer region
Source: RNAcentral